CCUACGGGUGGCUGCAGUGAGGAAUAUUGGUCAAUGGGCGGAAGCCUGAACCAGCCAAGUAGCGUGCAGGAUGACGGCCCUACGGGUUGUAAACUGCUUUUAUACGGGAAUAAAGCGCCUUACGGGUAGGGCUUUGCAUGUACCGUAUGAAUAAGGACCGGCUAAUUCCGUGCCAGCAGCCGCGGUAAUACGGAGGCUGCGAGCGUUAUCCGGAUUUAUUGGGGUUAAAGGGUGCGCAGGCGGAGGCACAAGGCAGGGGUAAAAUGGGGGGGCCAAACCCCGCUCCGCCGUUGAAACUGUGUCCCUUGAGUGCGCGAAGGGUAGGCGGAAUUCGUGGUGUAGCGGUGAAAUGCAUAGAUAUCACGCAGAACUCCGAUCGCGAAGGCAGCCUACCGGCGCGCAACUGACGCUCAUGCACGAAAGCGUGGGUAUCGAACAGGAUUAGAUACCCCUGUAGUC
RNAcentral lists this ribosomal RNA (459 nucleotides) under uncultured bacterium. RNAcentral's name for it is "partial 16S ribosomal RNA". It matches the Rfam family "Bacterial small subunit ribosomal RNA", at positions 338 to 795 of the family's 1533-position model. The record is from RNAcentral.